UGCUGCUUCCACAGCAAUAUAUACUAAAAUUGGAAUAUAUCAAGAAGAUUACUAAGGUCCCUGGGCAAAAAUGGCACCUUAAUUUGUGAAGCACUCCAUAUUUUU
Choloepus didactylus (southern two-toed sloth) is the source of this 105-nucleotide small nuclear RNA. NCBI's taxonomy places the organism in Eukaryota, Metazoa, Chordata, Mammalia, Pilosa, Megalonychidae. The record is from RefSeq and is a predicted model, not a curated record.